RNAcentral lists this ribosomal RNA (3006 nucleotides) under Salmonella enterica subsp. enterica serovar Abortusequi. RNAcentral describes it as "23S ribosomal RNA". It matches the Rfam family "Bacterial large subunit ribosomal RNA". The record is from RNAcentral. Lineage: Bacteria; Pseudomonadati; Pseudomonadota; Gammaproteobacteria; Enterobacterales; Enterobacteriaceae.
GGUUAAGCGACUAAGCGUACACGGUGGAUGCCCUGGCAGUCAGAGGCGAUGAAGGGCGUGCUAAUCUGCGAUAAGCGCCGGUAAGGUGAUAUGAACCGUUAUAACCGGCGAUACCCGAAUGGGGAAACCCAGUGUGACUCGUCACACUAUCAUUAACUGAAUCCAUAGGUUAAUGAGGCGAACCGGGGGAACUGAAACAUCUAAGUACCCCGAGGAAAAGAAAUCAACCGAGAUUCCCCCAGUAGCGGCGAGCGAACGGGGAGGAGCCCAGAGCCUGAAUCAGCAUGUGUGUUAGUGGAAGCGUCUGGAAAGGCGCGCGAUACAGGGUGACAGCCCCGUACACAAAAGCGUAUGUGCUGUGAGCUCGAUGAGUAGGGCGGGACACGUGGUAUCCUGUCUGAAUAUGGGGGGACCAUCCUCCAAGGCUAAAUACUCCUGACUGACCGAUAGUGAACCAGUACCGUGAGGGAAAGGCGAAAAGAACCCCGGCGAGGGGAGUGAAAAAGAACCUGAAACCGUGUACGUACAAGCAGUGGGAGCCCCACCACUAAGCCAGUGGUGAACUCCACAUACGCAUCCUUUGCUGAGGAUACGGUUAACGGAGCGAAAGCGACGUUCAACCUCAAAAGAAGCAGAGGGGGCUUAGUGGUGGGGUGACUGCGUACCUUUUGUAUAAUGGGUCAGCGACUUAUAUUCUGUAGCAAGGUUAACCGUAUAGGGGAGCCGGAGGGAAACCGAGUCUUAAUUGGGCGUUAAGUUGCAGGGUAUAGACCCGAAACCCGGUGAUCUAGCCAUGGGCAGGUUGAAGGUUGGGUAACACUAACUGGAGGACCGAACCGACUAAUGUUGAAAAAUUAGCGGAUGACCUGUGGCUGGGGGUGAAAGGCCAAUCAAACCGGGAGAUAGCUGGUUCUCCCCGAAAGCUAUUUAGGUAGCGCCUCGUGAAUUCAUCUCCGGGGGUAGAGCACUGUUUCGGCUAGGGGGCCAUCCCGGCUUACCAACCCGAUGCAAACUGCGAAUACCGGAGAAUGUUAUCACGGGAGACACACGGCGGGUGCUAACGUCCGUCGUGAAGAGGGAAACAACCCAGACCGCCAGCUAAGGUCCCAAAGUCAUGGUUAAGUGGGAAACGAUGUGGGAAGGCCCAGACAGCCAGGAUGUUGGCUUAGAAGCAGCCAUCAUUUAAAGAAAGCGUAAUAGCUCACUGGUCGAGUCGGCCUGCGCGGAAGAUGUAACGGGGCUAAACCAUGCACCGAAGCUGCGGCAGCGACACUAUGUGUUGUUGGGUAGGGGAGCGUUCUGUAAGCCUGUGAAGGUGUGUCGUGAGGCAUGCUGGAGGUAUCAGAAGUGCGAAUGCUGACAUAAGUAACGAUAAAGCGGGUGAAAAGCCCGCUCGCCGGAAGACCAAGGGUUCCUGUCCAACGUUAAUCGGGGCAGGGUGAGUCGACCCCUAAGGCGAGGCCGAAAGGCGUAGUCGAUGGGAAACGGGUUAAUAUUCCCGUACUUGGUGUUACUGCGAAGGGGGGACGGAGAAGGCUAUGUUGGCCGGGCGACGGUUGUCCCGGUUUAAGCGUGUAGGUGUGUGUUCCAGGUAAAUCCGGUUCACUUUAACACUGAGGCGUGACGACGAGGCACUACGGUGCUGAAGCAACAAAUGCCCUGCUUCCAGGAAAAGCCUCUAAGCAUCAGGUAACAUCAAAUCGUACCCCAAACCGACACAGGUGGUCAGGUAGAGAAUACCAAGGCGCUUGAGAGAACUCGGGUGAAGGAACUAGGCAAAAUGGUGCCGUAACUUCGGGAGAAGGCACGCUGACACGUAGGUGAAGUGAUUUACUCACGGAGCUGAAGUCAGUCGAAGAUACCAGCUGGCUGCAACUGUUUAUUAAAAACACAGCACUGUGCAAACACGAAAGUGGACGUAUACGGUGUGACGCCUGCCCGGUGCCGGAAGGUUAAUUGAUGUGGUCAGCGCAAGCGAAGCUCCUGAUCGAAGCCCCGGUAAACGGCGGCCGUAACUAUAACGGUCCUAAGGUAGCGAAAUUCCUUGUCGGGUAAGUUCCGACCUGCACGAAUGGCGUAAUGAUGGCCAGGCUGUCUCCACCCGAGACUCAGUGAAAUUGAACUCGCUGUGAAGAUGCAGUGUACCCGCGGCAAGACGGAAAGACCCCGUGAACCUUUACUAUAGCUUGACACUGAACAUUGAGCCUUGAUGUGUAGGAUAGGUGGGAGGCUUUGAAGCGUGGACGCCAGUCUGCAUGGAGCCGACCUUGAAAUACCACCCUUUAAUGUUUGAUGUUCUAACGUGGACCCGUUACCCGGGUUGCGGACAGUGUCUGGUGGGUAGUUUGACUGGGGCGGUCUCCUCCUAAAGAGUAACGGAGGAGCACGAAGGUUGGCUAAUCCUGGUCGGACAUCAGGAGGUUAGUGCAAUGGCAUAAGCCAGCUUGACUGCGAGCGUGACGGCGCGAGCAGGUGCGAAAGCAGGUCAUAGUGAUCCGGUGGUUCUGAAUGGAAGGGCCAUCGCUCAACGGAUAAAAGGUACUCCGGGGAUAACAGGCUGAUACCGCCCAAGAGUUCAUAUCGACGGCGGUGUUUGGCACCUCGAUGUCGGCUCAUCACAUCCUGGGGCUGAAGUAGGUCCCAAGGGUAUGGCUGUUCGCCAUUUAAAGUGGUACGCGAGCUGGGUUUAGAACGUCGUGAGACAGUUCGGUCCCUAUCUGCCGUGGGCGCUGGAGAACUGAGGGGGGCUGCUCCUAGUACGAGAGGACCGGAGUGGACGCAUCACUGGUGUUCGGGUUGUCAUGCCAAUGGCACUGCCCGGUAGCUAAAUGCGGAAGAGAUAAGUGCUGAAAGCAUCUAAGCACGAAACUUGCCCCGAGAUGAGUUCUCCCUGAGACUUUAAGUCUCCUGAAGGAACGUUGAAGACGACGACGUUGAUAGGCCGGGUGUGUAAGCGCAGCGAUGCGUUGAGCUAACCGGUACUAAUGAACCGUGAGGCUUAACCUU